Callithrix jacchus (white-tufted-ear marmoset) is the source of this 300-nucleotide unclassified non-coding RNA. It matches the Rfam family "Metazoan signal recognition particle RNA". Rfam says of the family: The signal recognition particle (SRP) is a universally conserved ribonucleoprotein. It is involved in the co-translational targeting of proteins to membranes. The eukaryotic SRP consists of a 300-nucleotide 7S RNA and six proteins: SRPs 72, 68, 54, 19, 14, and 9. The record is from Ensembl. NCBI's taxonomy places the organism in Eukaryota, Metazoa, Chordata, Mammalia, Primates, Cebidae.
GGGCACGAUAGCAAUGAGGUGCCUGUUGUCUCAGCUACUUGGGAGGCUAAGUCCAGAGGAUCACUUGAGCCCAGGAGUUCCAGACUGUAGUGAACUAUGCCAAUCAGGUGUCUGCACUAAAUUCAGUAUCAAUAUGGUGACCUUCAGGCAGUGGGGACCACCAGGUUGCCACAGGAGGGGUGAAUUGGCUUAGGUCUGAAAUGGAGCAGAUCAAAACUCCUGUGCUGAUCAGUAGUGGGAUCGUGCCUGUGAAAAGCCACUGCACUCCAGCCUGGGCAACAUAGCAAGACUCUGCCUCAA